This is a long non-coding RNA of Sorghum bicolor (sorghum), 1381 nucleotides long. RefSeq lists it as uncharacterized. Lineage: Eukaryota; Viridiplantae; Streptophyta; Magnoliopsida; Poales; Poaceae. The record is from RefSeq and is a predicted model, not a curated record. The transcript has 5 exons.
AUGUGACAUAAUUUUUCUCUUUUUUUUGUGUAGAUCCUUAUAGUAGGUAAUAAAAAGGGUAACAUUAUAGCCUUUCCUUUUCCUAAAAUAUUGGUACUGCAUGCCAGUGGUCUGAUGCAAGAGAAGAUGCUUCCAUGUGAUUGUUUCAAAGGGCUCAUGGCAUUUCUAGUGUCACAAGUGUUCAUAUAAAAGAUUUGAUUUCUGAUCAUACUGAAAUUCGCACUUAAUUUCCAGAACAAUAUUAUUAUUCAUAUUAUCAAAUUCAUGCGUAGUCUGAUAUAUGCUCCUCAUCCUUACAUGUUUUAGACUGGGGGAUGGUUGCAUUUGCUUUUUUUCAAGUAUGAAAGACAUGUGCAAAAUAUCGUUUUUUUUAAUGAGGCAAGUAAAAGAAAUGGGCACCUUUCAAUCAAUCUACACUAAUCUUGCAUCUGAGAGCCAAUUGAGUAGUUCCUAUACGGCUAUGCAUUAGGUUUUACCUCCACAGAUUUUAUCAUUAGGGACCCUGGAGAAUGAAACGAAGGUAAUAGAACACAUGUAGCAUAUGAAUUGGCCUUUCAGAAUCAACAGUUCAGCUAAUCAGUAGUUUCAAACUUUUAUAUCUUCAUUACAGAUGGCUCAAGUGUCCUGUGGAGGCUGGCAGAGACUUUUUUAUAUUUUCUUAUUAUCUUGGGAAAAUCCACGAAUAUCAGAACUGUUUUGCAUUUCUAAAGCUGCCCUCGGCUGCUCAAUGCUGGACGAGUGGCCAGUCAACUCCGACCCCUCCUGUUCCCAUUGUGCCAACCUAGCACCAGGACCUAGUGACUGCCACUUUUUGGCUGCAUACACAUUGAAUGCCGAACUUGCCUUACUUGGAUGGAGUCGUUCGAUCCAUUAGAGUUAUGUUUUUGCAGAAUCUAUACAGGUGUCUUCAACCUUAAUGUCUUACACGUGCUGUACGGAUUAGGACAAAUUCCACCUAUAGGUCAGUCAUACAAGUUUGGUGAGAAAAAUAGGCGGCUUAGUGGCUGAGAGGAUGGAGGAGAUUGGUCGUGGAAGAAUGAGGCAGGUAAGUGUAGUGGAGGACGCACGGCAGCCCUCCCUCAACCAGAAAUCAGCCACACGAGCAGGCGACAUGAUAUAGUGGACAAGCAGAGAACGCUUGGAUGUUUGUGACAUCACAACUUCCUUGUGAGAAUUAUUCAUGUGUCCGGCUCCCUCAUCCAGAGAGGUGUCCUCAUUGUGACCAAGCUGUGGAAUUCAUAAACCAUCUUGUGCUUUCUUGCCUCUUUGCUAGAGAUGUUCGGUUCAGGUUAUUCCAAAGAGUACCUAUAGAUUCUUUGUGACAAUGAUAAUGAACCAAAUGGUACUCUCUGUGUCGUAAAUAUUGCAAGAACAUUGUCUC